Molecule: ribosomal RNA, 455 nt
Filed under: uncultured organism
Description: bacterial SSU rRNA
Rfam family: Bacterial small subunit ribosomal RNA
Source: RNAcentral
GCGCACCAGGCGAGAAUUUUUCUCAAUGGGGGCAACCCUGAAGGAGCGACGCCGCGUGGAGGAUGAAGGCUUUCGGGUUGUAAACUCCUGUCACCUGAGAACAAGUGGCCGAACCUAACUACUUCGGCCUUGAUAGUAUCAGAAGAGGAAGGGACGGCUAACUCUGUGCCAGCAGCCGCGGUAAUACAGAGGUCCCAAGCGUUGUUCGGAUUCACUGGGCGUAAAGGGUGCGUAGGUGGCGCCGUCAGUGGGGUGUGAAAUUUCGGAGCUUAACUCCGAAACUGCAUUCCAUACUGCGGUGCUUGAGGACCGGAGAGGAGACUGGAAUUUACGGUGUAGCAGUGAAAUGCGUAGAGAUCGUAAGGAAGACCAGUGGCGAAGGCGGGUCUCUGGACAGUUCCUGACACUGAGGCACGAAGGCCAGGGGAGCAAACGGGAUUAGAUACCCGUGUAGU